GCGGAGGUCGCCAAGCCUGGCCAACGGCGAAGCGUUCAGGGCGCUUUCCCGUAGGGGUUCGCAGGUUCAAAUCCUGCCCUCCGCA
Molecule: transfer RNA, 85 nt
Filed under: Thermoplasmatales archaeon SW_10_69_26
Lineage: Archaea; Methanobacteriati; Thermoplasmatota; Thermoplasmata; Thermoplasmatales
Description: tRNA-Leu
Rfam family: tRNA
About the family: Transfer RNA (tRNA) molecules are approximately 80 nucleotides in length. Their secondary structure includes four short double-helical elements and three loops (D, anti-codon, and T loops).
Source: RNAcentral